CGAAAACUCAAAAACUCUCUCUGUUUCUCCUGUUGCAUCCCCUACCGUCCUCUUCAACUUCCUUCGCCGCAACCACCGCCGUCGUCAUCCUCCAACAAAAACUCCGGAUCUUAAUGAUGUGCUAGCUGGUAUAGAUUAUGUCAUAGAUAUGGGACUUGCAGAUCCAUCUAAAAUAAAUAUGUUUGGUGUUUCCCUUGGUGGAUUCCUAACAACACACUUGAUUGGCCAGAUGUAGUUAGCGUUCUGGAGAAUGGAGAUCUGGAAACGCUUGGCAUGCUGGAUUACGAUAAAAGGUUGCAACAUUCUUUCACUGCUCACCCGAAGGUUGACCUUGUAACUGUUAAGAGAAUAGUCAUCUGAAUUUGCUACCAAUUAUGGAAAUAAAUAUGACUGCUUAAUUGGUUCCAGUCCUUUGUUCGUAAAGAAUGUUACCUAAACUUUUAAAAAGGAACACCCAUCAACUAUGGAUAUCAGUUCAUCACUUCCAUGUAUCCUUUCCUUUAGUUGCAAAAUCCUCCAAGUUGUUCUCCAAUGAACAAGGUUCUUCCUCUCAUUUCGGACCCUGGCUUCCUGAAUUCUAUAUAGGUCAUUACUUGAAUGGAGAUAUAAGAACCUUUAAAAUAUCCUGUUACUACCCAUUACCAUUUUAUGAAAGUACACUUAACUACUUAGUAGUGGAGAUCACUAGGAUUUGGAAUUGAUGUUAACUUGAUUCAAGUUAUGUGGCCUUUAUUUGAGAAAGAACUUAGGUGUCCAGGUGCCUUUUGUUCAGAUGUACAAUGAAAUAUGGAUCUAAAAUAAAGCUGGGGAGUAAAAUAUGUGAUGAUUUAUUCAAUUAUAUACUAUUAUGUAAAUACAGAGUUUGACUUGAAAAUAUUUGCAUGCAGAGGAAAUGUUUACUUUUGGCUACUGACAGACACCACCUUACGCUACGUAUCUGUUAUGAUGCACGACUUUGCUAUUACUGAAAAUUAUGUAAUUAUGAUAGAUCUUCCAUUGUACUUCAGACCAAAGGUAUGCCAUCUUCGCAAUUUCUUUUUUCUAUUGAUCUAUACUUGCAGAGUUUUGGGUUCGCUCUCCUGAUGACAACGACAGAAAUUAUUCUGGUGAAGUAGCAUCAUUUUUGUUUAUAAAUUUGAGUUCUCAGAGAUGGUGGUGUUGUCUUAUAAACAAAGGGGUUAAGUAAAAUAAUGGCUAAAAUGGAACUAAAUGAUUUUGAAUUUCUAGUAAAUGGAAAGUAAAUUAUGAUAUUCAACUCUUGUCUUCAAGUUCUUAAUGAAUAAUCUAUGGCUCUUUAAAGUCCAGUAUUCAUCAAAUCAACUUUGAGAUGUGCUAUCCAUAUGUAUACGGAAGUUAACUAUAUGUUAUCUGCGAGUUUACACUUGAUGCCUUUACUGAUGAAUGACAGUUCAAUUGCUUGGUUCAGUUAACUGCUUAAAAGUUCCCUCAUGCUUUUUCUUUUCCCGAAUUUAAUCACAAAAGUGAGAUUAAUAGGCUAUGUAUUUCUUUGGAAAUGGUGAAAAACAAACAACUGGCAUACAACUUUGACCCCACAAAGAAGGCUCGCUUUGGAGUUCUUCCACACUAUGCAAAACAUGAAUCCCUAAUCAAGUGGUUCGAGCUGCCUAACUAUUUUAUUUUCUACAAUGGUAUGAAAUUUUAAAAUUUAAAAUUUGUUUUCAUUUUUAUAUCUGAUAUGUGGAAGUUCAUGCCCCUUGAUUGGAAAAUAGAAUAAAUUUCUAGCCACGAGAUAGAUAUUAGUGUAUAAUUUUUCACUUUGAAGAGAUGGAUACACUUUAGGACCCAAUGUAGAUGGUUUGCACUUCUUAGAUUGUCUUGUUAGACAUAAUGACUACCUGACUUUGAGCAACUUUUAUUACAAACUGCAAAAAUACAAAAAUGUUUAGCCUCUUAUUGGACACCACCCGACAUAAACUUCAACGAAUCACAAGAUGUACAUGUUUUAGUCUUACUAACUGAUUCAAACUGAGUUUGGUUUCGUUGCUUGACCAGCCAAUGCUUGGGAUGAGGGAGAUGAUAUGGUCUUGAUCACUUACCGCCUGUAGAAUCCAGAUUUAGACGCGAUUAAUGGAACUGAAAAAGAACAACAGCGUGAUGGUUUCACAAAUGAGCCGUAGUAUGCGAUGAGGUUCAAUAUGAAGAAUGGUCUAGCAUCAUAGAAGAAACUAUCAGAGUCAGAUGUUGAUUUCCCACGGGUCAAUGAGAACUACACUGGAAGGUUUGGAUGCAUUAACUGCUUUCUUCAGUUCCUUCACAUGUCAAUUCUCAAUAAAUUAUGUGGUGACUUUAGCUAUUAAAGUAGCAUUCUCAUAAAUUGCUACUCCAUGGAGAAUCAAAACAUUUUUGUUGGCUAAGAGUUUCUUGAUGUCAAGGCCUUCCGCAGUGCAAUUAAAGAGGCUGCUAUUGCACAACAUUUUGAACUUCGCAUAGUAAGAAGUGAUCUGAUUCGCUACAUUGCUAAAUAUGACUCAGAAGGUUGUCCAUGGCGUAUUCAUGCUAUUAAGCCUCCCAAUGUUCCUACCUUUACUAUAAGAAGCCUUGAGGGAACACAUACCUGCGGAAAAAAUGCACAAAAUGGGCAUCAUAAGGUUUCUGUUGAUUGGAUAGUGAACUUUAUAAAGGAGAGUUUGCGUGAUAACAUAAAUUACAAGCCAAAAGACAUUUUCCAUGAUAUAUAUAAGCAGUAUGGCAUAACUAUACCAUACAAGCAAGCUUGAAGGGCCAAGGAAAGAGGGCUUCAAGCUAUAUAUGGAUCUUUCGAAGAAGGGUAUUGUCUAUUACCUGCAUAUUAUGAGCAAAUCAAGAAGAAAAAUCCCAGAAGUCAUGCUGAGGUUUUUACAACUGGUUUAGAUAGUCAGUUUUAGAGGUUCUUCAUUUCCUUUUAUGCUUCUCUUCAUGGGUUCCUGAAUGGUUGCUUGCUUGUUAUUUGUCUUGGUGGUAAAUACUUGGGUACUUUACUCUCAGCGACUUCUUUUGAUGCUGACGGUGGAGUAUUUCUGCUUGCUUUUGGUAUUGUCGAUGAAGAAAAUGAUGAUAGUUGGAUGUGGUUCUUGUUAGAAUUGUGUAAAGCUCUAGACAUAAGCACUGAGAAAAUAUCACCUCUUAUAUUUCUGUCUGAUGGAUAAAAGAGUAUUGCAGAUGCUGUGAUAAAGAAAUUUCCCUCUUCUUGUCAUGCAAUUUGUAUGCAGUAUCUGAGUGAAAACAUCAGCAAAGAGUUCAAUAAUUCAAGGGUAGUUCAACUCCUGUGGAAAGCCGCAUAUUCUACGUCCAUCAUAUGGUUUAAAGAGAAAAUGGCAGAAAUUGAGAAGGUUUCUUCAGAUGCAGCAACGUGGCUUCAACAGUAUCCUCCUUCACAUUGGGCAUUAAUUCAUUUUGACGAAACAAGAUAUGGUCAUUUCUCUUCAAACAUUAAUGAGUUCAAUAAAUGAAUUCUUGAAGCGCGUGAGCUUUCUAUUAUUCAGGUGAUUAAACGGAUUCACUGUAAGUUAACAGAAGAGUUUGAGCAGCAACGAUCAAGUAGUAGCACAUGGAGUUCUACCCUCGCUCCAUCUACUGAGAAGCGCAUUAUGGACGGAAGAUCUCAUGCUUCCACAUAUCAAGUACUAAUGCCAGAUAAAGUUGAAUUUGAAGUUAUCUCAGUGGAGCGUUCGCACAUCGUGAAUACAGGUACACGAUCCUGUUCUUGUCGCGAUUGGCAGUUGUAUAGGAUACCAUGUUCUCAUGUUAUUGCUCUCUCGAAUCAUGUGAAAAGGAUGUUUACACCUUCACAAAGAAAUAUUUCACUACAGAUAAUUAUCGUGAGAGUUAUAGUAAAGAGGUACACCCCAUCCCUGAUAAACUCGAAUGGUCAAGAACCCGAAUAGUCCGACCACAUAAGUGUCGUCGACCACCAGGAUGACCUAAAAAGAAGCGGUUAUGCAUUGAAGAUCUUAAUCGCAAAACACAUACUGUCCAUUGUAGUAAGUGCAAUCAAACAAGACAUUACAAGACAACCCGCAAAGAGGUUGUUUAGAGUACACAACAGUUGUAGAUGUGUAGCCAACCCACCCCAACAUCCCUAUUUUCUUUCGAGAACUAAAAAGUUCUCAAUGGAUGGUUCAAACCCAAUGGAUAAUUGGCCUGUCCCUUUCCCUUCUCCAUGAAAAGUGUAG
This is a long non-coding RNA of Capsicum annuum, 4172 nucleotides long. RefSeq lists it as uncharacterized. Lineage: Eukaryota; Viridiplantae; Streptophyta; Magnoliopsida; Solanales; Solanaceae. The record is from RefSeq and is a predicted model, not a curated record. The transcript is spliced from 5 exons.